ACAAGUAAUAAUUCAUGAGAUCAAUAAUGAAUGAGUAAUAGAGAAGCAAGUAGUAUAUCUUAAUUAAAUAAUAAUGGAGUAUUAAGAUAUAAUUUUUUUCAAUUCUUAUUGAACAAUUUAAGGAAUAUUAUCGAAACGAAAUUCAACAUUCAAUAGUGAAAUUUGAGGAAAGGAAGGAGAUAUUAAUUUGGACAACGUGCUCACUCUGGUAAAGCCUGUUUCUAAUAAGUUUAGCGCCACGAUGUGAUCUUUCUCGUCGAUCAUGAAGUAUCUAGAAGACAUGCAAGAGAUGGAUUGAAAUCGGAGCACAAAUUAAA
This is a long non-coding RNA of Ooceraea biroi (clonal raider ant), 317 nucleotides long. RefSeq lists it as uncharacterized. The record is from RefSeq and is a predicted model, not a curated record. Lineage: Eukaryota; Metazoa; Arthropoda; Insecta; Hymenoptera; Formicidae.